Long non-coding RNA from Homo sapiens (human), 4706 nucleotides. Lineage: Eukaryota; Metazoa; Chordata; Mammalia; Primates; Hominidae. The record is from Ensembl.
GGUUUGAAUAAGGGUUGCUGGACGCUGUUUUCCUAUUGACAAAUCCUUCUGUUCUGCAGGUACACAGGGGUGGGAUGGCUGGAGGAUGGGGAAGGGAGAGGAUCCAAAGGCACUAAGAACUGUCUUGGCCUUUCUACAAUAAAUUUCCCAGCAUGACACAGAAGCACAGUUACACACUUGCACACACACCACUGAGCCUCCCAAGUGUUGAAAUACUACAUCCAGGCAUAUAUUAAACUAACAAAUUUAAAAAGAAACUACCAUGUCCAGCAAUACUCUAAUCAUCCAAAGUAGUAAUAGUAAAGGUAACUGAUGCUAAUGUCUAUUAAUGCCCCAAAACAUUUAAAAACUCAAGAAGAAAAAGAAAUCUACCCUGAUAAAUAUGAAUAUAUGUUUUUAAUUUAUGCUUUUCUUUAUUUUUAAUUUAUGCUUUUCUUGAAAAAUUAUUGUCUUCCAAUGAUUAAUUCUUUUGAGUCAGGGUGAUGUAUGGUUUUGCCCUGAAACUUUCUUUCUAAAAGAAAUCCCUAGUCUCAGUUUGCUUUCUAAACAAAUGACAGGAGAAACCAUAGGAAAAUGUAAUUCAAAAUCAAAAAGGCUCAUAAGUUUCACUUUCUGAAAAAGUUGCCAGCACCUGGAUAUAUAAAAUUAUACUAUUUCUACAAACACAAUCCUUGAAUUGGAAGCUGGCCCAGAUUUCUACUUCCCCAGAUUCCUACAUUCCCUGUGCAACCCUCUUCAAUCCUGGGCUUGGUGUCUUUUUGGCUUUUCACCAGUAUUCAAAACGUUCCCCUAGUUCAGGCUCUGCAGCCAGCUGUCCAGGAGGCUCCCUGAUGGUUGCAUUAACAUCCUGGGGCAAUACUGCCGUCGUGUGGGCAUGUAAAAUGCUGCAGGUUCAUCCCAAAGUGAAGUUGCAUUUUCCCAACUACAGGCACAAAUGAGUCUUCUCUCUGCUCUUUCACUUCUAGGUUAAUGGGACUCCUGGGUGACUGAAGAUGUCAAGAGGGUUUUGGGUAGACAAUUUGUAGUGCCUGUUUGUCCUGUCUCUGAGAUCUUGAAUAAACUUUGGGAACCUAUUGGGUGAGAGUUGUUGGAAAUGUAAAUUUACAAGAUGCAUUCUUAAUAUAUCAGACCUAAUUAAAAAUUUUGCCAAUAAAACAAUGUGGCAACCCUGUACCAUGUGUGAUGGCAUGCUUGUGACUUGAUUUAUCCUUGUAAAAAUGACUUUACUGGAUAUGUGGUCACCAGACCUAAUGGCCUCUGUGAUUUAAUUUUUUAAAUAUGGGAAAUAUCUUUGCUGCCGAAACUCACUAACAUCUUUUUGAACUUUACGGGAAUUGAUGUUUCCAGCUGAAAGAUGGAUUUAGAGUUUGGGACAGAAAACACAGUGAUGCUAAAAACCAAAAGUUAUUUGGAAAAAACAUUUGAAUCAGCACCGAAAUGAUGUAGUUUAGCAAAAACAUUAACAAUAAAACAUUACCUUUCUUGUCAUAAGACUAUUUUCUUUUUUACAAACAGCUUAUAAACUUUCUCUGUGAUGAACCUUCGUAUACAGUUCAGCUGAAGACUAUAAGCCUGUUAGAGUCCCUUGGGAAGAAGAAACCUAUGCAUCUAGGUUGUUCCUAAAAAAGCUGUUGUUCAACUAAGACAUGCUGUCCUUACAGUGCUGUCACCGCCAGAAAUAAUCUUUAAUUCUGUCUUCUUGGUGUGAAUUCUCAACUAGUAAAACUCUAUAUUGAAAUGCAAAUUAGCUCUUCCGAGUACAAGCUUGUAAAAAUGUCAAAACACCUCACAAAAAUUCUAAUUGCCACAUAAUUAGGUAUCUAAACAAAAGUUCUAUGCUGAUAUUUUAAUUUUGCUUCAUUGCAAUAAUGUACAUUCAAUAAUGGGCCCAACUAGGACAAGGUGAUAAGUUAGGGAAGAAAGUAGCUAAUAGCACCAAAUAAGGAUGCCCCUGAACCCAGAGCCUGGCAGAAAAUAGAAUGGACUUCCAGAGAAACAUCAUGGGGCCUAGGGAAAUAAACACCGCUUAGGGAGAAUUAGAUUAGCCAGAGUACAACAAACUUCCAUUACAAGCUGGAAUUUCUUUUAGAAGGAAUACAUGAAAGUGUGUCUUUAUAAAGAGGUGGUAUCCUGGAGUGAGCACUAAAUCAGUCUAAUGCCUUCAAUCUUCUUGAUUUCCCCCUACAGAACUGUACUUCUUAUUAAUGUUUGUAAUGACCACCUGUGGCACUGUAGGAUGCUGAAUUACCAAAGAAAGAUUAAAUUAUGUCCUAUUGAUGACACUUAAUAGACGUCUAGCAGGUGCACAUGUUACAGAAUGAUAUUUGACAAAUGUAGAAAUGAUAAGGGUUAUCUGAUCUGUCUGAAAUUAAUCAGAAGCUUCAGUUAAGUAGAACUCCAGUUCUGAUAACAUUCCAUUAUUAUUAUCAUCAUUAUUAUUGUUACUAUUAAGAAUUAUAGCCCCUUUUCAACUCAUCACUACCUUUAUUGUGGAAUCACCUGUGUUCAAUGUACCUAUAUUUUAGAAGGACAACGGGGCACCAAAGUUGCUAGCCUGAUCCUAUAAUUGCCAUCUUCAUCUUUCAGUAUGGAAUAUAUUAUAUUUACAUUAAAAAUUAUCCCUUACAAGAUCCCUUUGAACAAUUUUUCAAAUAUAUGUUUAAAGACAAGUACAUUAAUUUCAAGAAAAUUUCUUAUGAGAUUAGAGGAUGUAAUGUUAGUAUGAUCUACUAAUAACCUAGUAACUAUCAUUUAUUGAUUACCUACAAAGUCACUUGUGUUUUAUAUUCAUUAUCUCUAAUUUUUAAGGUACCCCUGCAAGGUUGGCAGUAUUAUCUUCACUGUCCAGAAGAAGAAAUAGUUUCAAGAGGCUAAGUAAUCACAGUAAGAUCAUAUGGUCAAUAAGUGCAAAAACAAGACUCAAGCCUCACUGGGUUUUAAUGGAAGAACCAUGUGGUGUUUGAGUAGAAAAAUCUAUUCCCUCUCCUCUCUCUCUCCCUCUCUCUCUCUCUUUUCCCAGUGAUAAACAGUAGGAAGUGGGAUUAGUCUGUGUUGAACCCUAUUACUUCAGCCCACAUUCAUUGCUCAUCUUUCCACUAUUUUUAGUUUUUCCUUCUGUUCUGGACUCUUCCUUUCUUCCUUCAAAUAGAAAAAGGUCACACCUCUAUUUAAAACAUCACAGAACACCCAUAUUUUUGCUCUUCUAUCAACUUACCAGUCUAAAUCUUUUUUAUUUUCAGCUAAACUUAUUAGAUGAAUGUCAUAAUUGCCCCAUUUUCACUUUGCUUUCACUCUCAUGGCCACCACUGGAAUGAAGCUGUUCUUCAGACUUACUUAUGACAUCUGCUCCAGUUUCAAAGGCUGUCUCCAAGUCCUGACUUUCUGAAAUUCUCUGCAGCAUCUGACACAAUUAAUCUCAUCCACCCUCACCUACUGCCAGUAAAAAUACUGGCAGCUGACACACAUGGAACAGCGACUUGGUGCUAGGCUCUGGGUUAAGCACUUUAUAUGCAUUAUCUCAUUUAAUCCCCACAACAUCCCUGUGAGGUUGGCACUGUUAUGGGUCCCCAUUUUACAGAUGAGGAAACUGAGUCUCGGGGGGUAAAGUAACUUGACCAGUAUUACACAAGCAAAAACAUGGUGAAGAUAGCUGUUGAUCCAAUAUGCUGUGCUAUCUUUAAAAUUAUUUAGCCAGUCUUUUACUAUCUGCUGGGCACAAAGCCAAGUUCAUUAGAGGUAUUAUCUGAUUAUUUUGUGUUAUAUUUUCUCCUAUUAUACCUAACUCUAGGUCUAUUGCAAGAUCAAGUUUGUGAUCCUCUGCCUAUUUCUCCUCUUGACUACUUCAAAUUCCAAGUAUUUUUUAGAAGAUUUUAACUUGCAUCAAAUAAUUAUUGAUGUACAGGUCAUGGUGGCAGGGCUCUGGACAUAGGAAAGUGAACAAGGUAGGCUUGCUGCCUGCUUGAAGUUGACAACAUAGUGGAUAGAAAGUGAGACAGAGAAGCCACAAAUCAUUACCUGAGCCAAUCAGUGGCCCACUGAGAACACUCCUUCCAGGUCAUGAAAUUUCAAGUGAAGUGGCACACCAGCUCACCCACCUACUUCCCACCCCGACCCCAGAAUCCCCUUCCUGGAAACCUUGUGCUACCUCCAAAGCCAAACUCUCAAAUAAACCCCAGCACCUUCCAGAGAUGCCGUUUCAGUGGUGGGGUUUGAGGUGAGUACUCUGGGACCCAGCCUGGGUUUCACAGAACUAGGAGACUAUCUGCCCUGGGCUGGCCCCAAGGCCAGUGUCAGAAGUACCCCCACCCUCCUGAUUAUCAGUCAACCCAGAACAAACGCUUUCCUCUACUUUCCCUUAAUUGUACUUGGUGCUAGUCAUCUCUGUGGCAAGAAUAUGAGCUUCUCACAAGCUAAUAAUGAAACAUAUCUUUGGUUCUUUCACAGCACCCAGCUUUGGGCUAAGUAUGUAAAUGUGGGCGUCAGAUACACCUGCUUGAGUAAAUGUCUCCUCUCAAUACCUGGAAGAAUGAUGAGUGUUUGCUCUUCUACAAACCAACUCAAGGCACCCAGAAAGCAAGGAAGCUUCCAAAGAAAAAUGGAGUUAUAUUAAAAGGAUGUAGGCAUUAUCUUGAAGGGUUUUCUACUGGUCAAAGUUGGGAUAAUUUAAGCAUCAAAUAAAUGAUAGCUGUAAAUUGAAUAUAUAAGAA